AUGGAAGUUAGUUUGACGUCGCCAAACAGUGCAAGUGUGGUGGCAAUGGGAACCAUUCAGAAAACUGAUAGAAAAGCUAAAGCUAUUGAUGGCCAACCACUAGCUGAUUGUGUUGAAGUUCUUGUCAACAUCGUGCUCAAAAAAACAACUGAGCUGCCUAGUGCACAAGGGAAAAUAAACAAGCUAGGAGAUGCCCAAGCUAGGUGUAUUCCCUGGCCAUGCAAAAAUAUUAUGCAAACAGACCGUACUACCGUGCUGCACUCUAAGUUUCUAGUGUUUGUAGUCAGAUGUCUUUCAACAAUAGCGAGAAUGUGGAUCACAACAAAACAACUACUGGAACUCAGGUGA
Molecule: ribosomal RNA, 348 nt
Filed under: Triticum aestivum (bread wheat)
Lineage: Eukaryota; Viridiplantae; Streptophyta; Magnoliopsida; Poales; Poaceae
Description: partial small subunit ribosomal RNA
Source: RNAcentral